RNAcentral lists this long non-coding RNA (1716 nucleotides) under Mytilus galloprovincialis (Mediterranean mussel). Lineage: Eukaryota; Metazoa; Mollusca; Bivalvia; Mytilida; Mytilidae. The record is from RNAcentral.
GAAAAAAUGAAAUGAAGGUCUCUGCAAAAUAUUUAAAUUUAUUUCUAAGAUCAAUGCAAAAACUACCUGGCAAAAUUGUUAGACUCUAUGCUAAAAAAUGUGUGAUUUAUAUUGAAUGUCUACAUACUGUUCUUAUACAGAGUGUGAAUACUUACAAUACUGUAUUAGAACAAAUAUGGCUACCACAAAGUCAGAAAACAAAUGUCAAUUUUAUACUGCAACAUAUAUAUUGUUCAAAGUACAUUUAGUUUGAUAUUGCUAAUAAUUCUUUACAACAAAUAUAGUUAUUAUCUGAGGGAAUGCAUUGAUUUUAGCAUUUUUUUGUGUAUGAAGCAUUCACUCAGGGGAUUAUAUUUUAUUUGCAUUAUUAAUAAUGUUAGGAAUAUUGUCUCUUUUUUCUCAUUAGGUCAUGUUAUUAUUUGGCUUUAUCAGUAAGGCAGUGAUUUGUUCUCCCUUAUUUAAUUUUUUUUUAGACACGAAAUGUUGUUAUUUUGUCUUAUAAAACGUAUCAAUUAUUUUACAGAUACCUAUUGUGAAAAUUUUGUUAGAUAUUCAAUACUCCAUAAGAUUCAUUUGUGAUGAUUUCUAUGUUUUUUGUAUGCUUAUAUGUAUUUCAUCUGAAUUUAAUUUGUAUUCUUUAUUGAUAAAAAAUCUUUUUCUCUGUUGAAUCCUUAACCACUUUUCCUGGACUCCAAAUCGAUUAAAGUGUCCAUAUAUACAAUUUGAGAAAACCUCAUUCCAGUUCUGACUUGGUACAGACACUUUCAAAUUAAACUGAUUGACUGAACCAGGUUUUACAGCUUGCCAAAUCUCUUAUUUAUAUGUUAUUUCUUUUCAAAAUAACUAUUUUCUUGGAAGUCAAUGUUCUCAUUUGAAUAUGGUACAUAGAUAUAGGAAGAUGUGGUAUGAGUGCCAGUGAGACAACUCUCCAUUCAAGUCACAAUUUAUAACAGUAGACCAUUAUUGGUAAAAGUAUGGUCUCCAACACUGAACCUAUGCUCACACCGAACAGCAAGCUAUGAAGGGACCCAAAAAUACUAGGGUAAAACCAUUCAAACAGGAAAACGAACAGUCGAAUCUAUAUAAUACGAGAAACAUGUAUUUUUUUUCAUCUAUCAUAAAUAGACAAUUGAUAAUAUGCCUAGGAUACAUUUAAGAAAUCUGCUUUUAAAUUCUACUGACCAUUUAAAGACUUCUUUUAUGUAGCAUUUUAUUCUUGCUGAAAUUUCUAUAAAUUUGUUACACAUGUAUAUCUUGCCCUCCUGGCGCAGCUGUUUAUUAUGAUACACCAAACAUCAUUAGAUGUGUUAGAUCUACAUGUAUAGUGAAUAAUUAAUUUGAUAUGGAGUUUUAAAACGGGAUAAAUGGCCCCAUUAAUAUGGUUUUAAUUGAUCAUUACACUUGGUUUAAAAUCUUUGUCAAUUUAUUUCAUGCAUUUCUUUAAUUGAACAUUGAACUAAAUGAAGGGAAUAUUUAAUUCUUCAUUUGCCAAAAAACAUAAUUUUAUAAAAUAUAUGAUACUUGCUGUUUGAUGUGUUUAUAAUAAAUUACAUGCUAUUAAUGAGCCAUAAAUACAACUUAAUUUCAUUUCGACAAGAAUUGAUACUUUUCAUCUUCAGUGUGAAGAUAUCAUUAUUAUCAUCAGAAGUAUUGUAGAUCAUUGUAUUUAUGUUAAUAUCUCUUUGAUGAUUAUUAUAUAAAUUAUUAAGUAUUUAA